CGGUUCGUAGUUUAAUAGGAAAAACAU
RNAcentral lists this transfer RNA (27 nucleotides) under Sargassum hemiphyllum. RNAcentral describes it as "partial tRNA-Ile". The record is from RNAcentral. Lineage: Eukaryota; Phaeophyceae; Fucales; Sargassaceae.